RNAcentral lists this long non-coding RNA (407 nucleotides) under Carica papaya (papaya). RNAcentral describes it as "long non-coding RNA (CPAP_LNC003451)". The record is from RNAcentral. Lineage: Eukaryota; Viridiplantae; Streptophyta; Magnoliopsida; Brassicales; Caricaceae.
AGAUAUCUAGAAAGUAGUAAUCAGAAUUUGCACCAACUCAAAGAUAAAACUCAGAAGAAGACUCAAUCAAAAAAUGGAGUCAAAUUCUGGAGACAAGGCCGAAUCCCGUGAAGCCCAAAGACCUGAUCCGAGCAAGCCUAGAUCGGCUAAGAUAGAUCCUCAACGCCAUCAAAGAAGGGAGGGCAUAUGGGCUGCCAAGACAAUCGAGCCAAGGAAGCACCAAUAAUUAUGAAUCAUAGGCUUUUAGAAUAAUCCAGGACGCCAAAGAUCCAAGUUCAAGGCUGAUCAGAAAUUUAAAAACCCAACCUGAAGACUAUGCGCACAAAAUCGUGCAUGGAGGAGGAAGUCGAGCCGCACACAUGCUCUACUCAGGAACAUGUGUGCAAGACGAGGGUGAUCUUAUGGAU